This 611-nucleotide ribosomal RNA is filed under the name uncultured bacterium. RNAcentral describes it as "bacterial SSU rRNA". It matches the Rfam family "Bacterial small subunit ribosomal RNA", at positions 59 to 648 of the family's 1533-position model. The record is from RNAcentral.
AAGUCGAGCGAGAAAGCCCGCAAGGGUGAGUACAGCGGCGCACGGGUGAGUAACACGUGGGUAAUCUGCCUCAAAGCCCGGAAUAACCUGCCGAAAGGCGGGCUAAUACCGGAUGAGCUCACGGGGGCCUCGGCCCCAGGGAGAAAAGACAGCCUCUGCAUGCAAGCGGUCACUUUGAGAUGAGCCCGCGGCCUAUCAGCUAGUUGGCGGGGUAAUGGCCCACCAAGGCGAAGACGGGUAGCUGGUCUGAGAGGAUGGCCAGCCACACUGGAACUGAGACACGGUCCAGACUCCUACGGGAGGCAGCAGUGGGGAAUAUUGGACAAUGGGGGAAACCCUGAUCCAGCGACGCCGCGUGUGUGAUGAAGGCCUUCGGGUCGUAAAGCACUGUCGCGGGGGACGAACGUCGUGACCUUGAACACGGGUCGCGUCUGACGGUACCCCGAGAGGAAGCACCGGCUAACUCUGUGCCAGCAGCCGCGGUAAUACAGAGGGUGCGAGCGUUGUUCGGAAUUAUUGGGCGUAAAGCGCUUGUAGGCGGUCCUGUAAGUCGGGUGUGAAAGCCCUCGGCUCAACCGAGGAAGUGCGCCCGAAACUGCAGGACUUGAGUG